Long non-coding RNA from Biomphalaria glabrata, 610 nucleotides. RefSeq lists it as uncharacterized. The transcript is spliced from 4 exons. The record is from RefSeq and is a predicted model, not a curated record. Lineage: Eukaryota; Metazoa; Mollusca; Gastropoda; Planorbidae.
UAAUCUGUUGUGUGUGUGUGUGUGUGUAGCCAGCUAUAAGAUGCAAUCAAACUAGGUUUUCAAGUUAUUGAGAAAACAUCGAGGUGAACAGACAUUGCCGAGAAGCUGAGCAAUUUCAACAUUUGGAUUGUACCCUGUGUACUGAAGUAGAACUGUGUAUUGAAGUAGAACUGUGUACUGAAGUAGAACUGCUCACUUCUGACUCAACAAUGAAAGCUGUUCUUAUAACCUUCGUGACUUUACUGUGUAUCUCUACAAUGAUGCUUCCAAACGCAAUCAUGCCGAGACUUUCAGUUGCUGGAGGCCCUUUAUGAAAUUUGGAAAAAACAACAACAACAAAAAAGCCAGCGAUUGUCCCGAGUGUAAGUGUGCACGGUCUAGUCUCGACAGGAAUAUAAAAUCACAUUUCAAAGGUUAAGGCGAGACCCGGUAUGUGUACACUUUUAGAGUCACUCAUGGACUAACAUCUACAACCUUUUGAAAAAAAAAAACAACAGAAAAGCGGAAACCAAAUUUUGAAUAUACUGUUUAGAUUUUACAAUUUAACAUCCCUAACUUUCAAUUGAACAAAUGUUUUAAAGUCUGAUCAAAUAAAAGUACAUCAGUAGCA